GCUGGAGCUGGUUCUCAGCACUCACUUGCCCUGCCCUGCCCUCCCCACCGACCUCUGCGGCAGAGCCGGGCCCCAGGGCAGAGCCAUGCCUCCGCAAUCAGCCUCACCUGCAGCAUCGCCCACUGAGGCUCCAGCUGCCCUCUCAGCACCUCCACCCUGCCCAGCUUACCUCCUCCAGGAGGGCCAGGACUCGGCCCCCUGCCAGCCCCCGAAGCAUGGCAGCCAGGAGUGCAGCGUGGGGGCCCUGCAGGCCAUGGCCAGGCCCUAGCGCCACCAGCACCAGGUCAGGCUGGAAGCCAUAGGCCAGGGGCAGCACCAAGCCCAAGAUGCAGCUCAGGAAGCCACCAGUCAUCUGUGGGGACAGCAGAGCCCAGCUCCUCAUCUACAGACACCUGCUGGCUCUGGCCCUCCAACCUCAAUCUCAGGGCCCCUGGAGCAGGAGCAGGGAGACAGGAAGGACCAGAGGCCUGCUCUCAUGACGUGCCAGCAAGCAGCAGCGGCACACAUCCAUGGGCUCCCCAGCACCUGCCUUGCCGCGUGGCGUGGUCACUCACCACUGGCAGUGGUGUGGAGACUUGGAACAUGGAUAGGGCGGCUGCCUCCUUGCCCCCGAUGUUCAGCCACAGAGUCCUCCUUCCAGGACACAUGUGCAUAAGUGUAAGGCCCUGCUCACCCUCCUGAGCCCAGACCACAGGCAGAGGUGGAAGAGCAAUCACAGGGCCAUGGGCAGGGGUGCUGUGACUGCUGAGCCUCUGUGCUGGAGACCCACCUGGCAUUGCCUGUAGCAGCCCUUCUCCCAAACCCCAGCUGAGGAAGGCUCCAUUCAGUACCACAGUGCCCCACCCACCCGUCACCCUGGGGCCCAGGCACACAUCCGUCGCAUGCCCAUCCACAUCCAUGGCUGGACAGAUGCAAGACGUGAGUCCUACCCGUCAUGGGCGAGGUCUGGAGGCCGGUCCAGCUGUCCCAGGGCCACACACAGCAGCCUGGAGGAAGAGCUGGCCUCAGGACAGGUGUUCCUGUUGUCCAGAGUCCAUUCCCACAGCUCUCUCUGCCAGCCAGGAUAGGGGUGCCCACAGGUCCUGCCCUCAGAGGCUCCAGAUGGUCAAGUGAGGCUUACCUCUGGGCUCCGUGGGACAGGCCUCUCUGAAUAGCCACAUCCAGCGUGGCUGCUGCAGCAGAGGCUGGAGUGGCUGCAAUGCCACUGUUCACCUGUGGGAUGAAUAAACAGUGGAGGAUGAGGCAGCAGCCAACUCCCGAGCCAGGUAAACAGAUCCACGGUUCCCUCCAUUCGGUGUAUCUCUGUGGCUAAUGUCAGCCACACUUCUUACACUCAGGUCAAUCACUCCGCUUCUGUAAAUAA
This is a non-coding RNA of Chlorocebus sabaeus (green monkey), 1363 nucleotides long. NCBI's taxonomy places the organism in Eukaryota, Metazoa, Chordata, Mammalia, Primates, Cercopithecidae. The record is from RefSeq and is a predicted model, not a curated record.